Molecule: non-coding RNA, 272 nt
Organism: Pantherophis guttatus
Lineage: Eukaryota; Metazoa; Chordata; Lepidosauria; Squamata; Colubridae
Source: RefSeq, a predicted model, not a curated record
GCCUCUCGCAUCGUAAUACAUCCCCCUUGCUUGCCGAAAAUAAAUUUAUCCACAGCCUUUUGGAAAAUGAAAAUAAGAGGUCAGAUUACUUGAAAAGGACCAUAGUUGCCAUGGAGGUCAUGAAUUCACAAGUUUCAUCAGACUUUCUUCCCAGGAUACUUUGGGAGUUCCAGUCCCAAUCCUGAGAUGACAAUCAGGAUCUUGUAGAGUCACUGCCAUGCAGCCACUGAAGACUCCUCCAUCUCUCAUCUGAUUGUCUACGGAGAUUCUCA